GUAUAAAUAGUUUAUUGAGAAUAAUAAUUUGUGGUAUUAUUGGUGUAAUUUAUUUACUUUAGACC
This 65-nucleotide transfer RNA is filed under the name Macroscytus subaeneus. Its description in RNAcentral is "tRNA-His". The record is from RNAcentral. Lineage: Eukaryota; Metazoa; Arthropoda; Insecta; Hemiptera; Cydnidae.